CAGAGUGUAGCUAAAUUAAAAGCAUUUCACUUACACCGAGAAGUUGCCUGUGCAAGUCGGGUCACUCUGA
Molecule: transfer RNA, 70 nt
Filed under: Nothobranchius nubaensis
Lineage: Eukaryota; Metazoa; Chordata; Actinopteri; Cyprinodontiformes; Nothobranchiidae
Description: tRNA-Val
Rfam family: tRNA
About the family: Transfer RNA (tRNA) molecules are approximately 80 nucleotides in length. Their secondary structure includes four short double-helical elements and three loops (D, anti-codon, and T loops).
Source: RNAcentral